RNAcentral lists this ribosomal RNA (447 nucleotides) under Triticum aestivum (bread wheat). RNAcentral describes it as "partial small subunit ribosomal RNA". The record is from RNAcentral. Lineage: Eukaryota; Viridiplantae; Streptophyta; Magnoliopsida; Poales; Poaceae.
AUGAAAGAAUCAGAGGCGAUCCAUGGUGGUACAGGACAAGAAGCUUGUGCAUCGAAAUGGCUCUUGUUGGUGCUUACUGGGAUCAGUGGCGGUGGUGGUGGCGGUGCCGUUGAAGGAGCAGGUGGCGCCGGUGCUGGCGCUCUUCUGGUAGUAGUCAUUGUAGGCGUAGGAGGCCAGCGCCGCCACGUUGUUCUGCUUGUAGCACGCCCCUCCGGGCUGCACCGCCGAGCAGUCGGCCUGCCCCUGCCCGCACGCCCAGCUCAGGCCCGCCUGCAGCGCUGUCGGGUCCGCGUUCUGCAAGGCCACGCAGAACGUCCCCGUCGCCAGCGACCGCCUCCCACCUCCACCGGCGGUCAUGGGAUGACGGCCAUACAAGUAGCUGUGGUACACCAGCGCGCCACUGAGAGCGAGCUCCGCCGACUCUGCCGCGAUCAGUGGGAUGCCUGA